RNAcentral lists this non-coding RNA (84 nucleotides) under uncultured Phenylobacterium sp. RNAcentral's name for it is "Glycine riboswitch". It matches the Rfam family "Glycine riboswitch aptamer", at positions 7 to 88 of the family's 94-position model. From Rfam's summary of the family: This family represents the bacterial glycine riboswitch. The record is from RNAcentral. Lineage: Bacteria; Pseudomonadati; Pseudomonadota; Alphaproteobacteria; Caulobacterales; Caulobacteraceae.
CUCGCGGGAGAGAUCGGGGCCUUCGGGACCCCGGAGCCGAAGGCGCAACCGCCCCGGAAACGCUCAGGCAAAAGGACCGCGCGG